This 442-nucleotide ribosomal RNA is filed under the name uncultured bacterium. Its description in RNAcentral is "partial 16S ribosomal RNA". It matches the Rfam family "Bacterial small subunit ribosomal RNA", at positions 338 to 795 of the family's 1533-position model. The record is from RNAcentral.
CCUACGGGUGGCAGCAGUGGGGAAUAUUGGGCAAUGGGCGCAAGCCUGACGCAGCAACGCCGCGUGAAGGAAGAAGGCUUUCGGGUUGUAAACUUCUUUUGACAGGGAAGAGCAGAAGACGGUACCUGGCGAAUAAGCCACGGCUAACUACGUGCCAGCAGCCGCGGUAAUUCGUAGGUGGCAACCGUGGUCCGGAUUUACUGGGUGUAAAGGGCGUGUAGCCGGGCUGACAAGGCAGUGGUGAAAUCCGGGGGCUUAACCCGCGAGCUGCAUUUGAAACUGUUGGUCUUGAGUAACGGAGAGGCAGGCGGAAUUCCUAGUGUAGCGGUGAAAUGCGUAGAUAUUAGGAGGAACACCAGUGGCGAAGGCGGCCUGCUGGACGACAACUGACGGUGAGGCGCGAAAGCGUGGGGAGCAAACAGGAUUAGAUACCCUUGUAGUC